This 89-nucleotide small nucleolar RNA is filed under the name Setaria italica (foxtail millet). Its description in RNAcentral is "Small nucleolar RNA R24". It matches the Rfam family "Small nucleolar RNA R24". From Rfam's summary of the family: snoR24 is a C/D box small nucleolar RNA which acts as a methylation guide for 18S ribosomal RNA in plants. Lineage: Eukaryota; Viridiplantae; Streptophyta; Magnoliopsida; Poales; Poaceae. RNAcentral also lists the same sequence under 1 other name. The record is from Rfam by way of RNAcentral.
ACAGUUGUGAUCCUUAACAUGUCAGAAGAUUCAUUCAAAAGGUUGAAUCUUCAAUGAGAUAUACUUGUUACGCUUGGCUUCUGAGCUGC